GGGAUUCUGGGGGAAGGAGUUAUACUCAGUGGUGGCCAUAGAGAGUUGGUGACUGCCUUUGAGAGGAGAAUGGUUGUGAUCCUUUUGCCGAGAACUCACCCAGAGGACUUAUACCUUGGUGACAGCAGAAGGACUCAAAUUAGAAAACUGAGGCCCAGAGAAGGAAAGUAGCUGCCAGAGGUCACACAGCUAGGAUUGAGGGAUCAGAGAGUUCCUCCUCCCCCACAAGCUGGCACAUGUGGAUAUUGGCUCUGUUUUGCCUUUGACCCCUAGUGAAAGAAAAUACUGAGACGGAGUCUCGCUCUGUCGCCCAGGUUGGAGUGAAGCGGCUAGAUCUCAGCUCACUGCAACCUCUGCCUCCCAGGACCACAGGUCAUCCUCAAGCCUUCCUCCCAGGCUAUCCUUGUCCCUGAAUACUAAUGUCUAAAGGUCAGCCCAGCUACCAGCAGUGUGCAUGUGAUGUGUCCCAUCUCCCCUUCGGAUUGGAGGAAGAAGCUGUGUCCCUCCCAUCAGACAGACGGUCUCCUUAAAGAUUCUCCUGGUCUCCAGCUUGGGCUCUGCUGGAAAGAAGAGGAAGUAUUUAGCAAGGGUGAAGAUGGGUUCUUACUUCCCUGAGGCAACCAGAGAUAAGAAAAGACCAGAAUAUGAAUAUCCAGCAUUCCACAAAGAAUCCUACAGGCAGGGAUAUUGCCCAAUCACCAGUGCCUCGCAUCCCAGUUCUAUCCAAGAUCCAAGCUUGAUAUCCUCCUGAAAGACUUCCUGAAUCAGGUCACCAACAUGGACAUCUGAACUUCCAGAAUCAGGUCACCGUCUUUCUUCUCAUCUCUGGAUGUAUUUGGAGCUCAUUUGUCUGACGGUUUUUGAAUGCUAUCUUUUAAAAAUAAACUUUUACAAUUUGGGUUUAAUAAUUCUAGAUUUAUAGAAAAGUUGAAAAGAAAGUACAGAAAGUUCCCAUAUAUCCCUUAUCCAGUUCUCUUAAUGUUAACCUCCUACAUCAUCAUGGAACAUUUGCCAAAAUGAAGAUGUCAACACUGGUGCUUUGCUGUGAACUAAACUCCAGACUUUAUUCGGAUUUCAUGAAUUUUUCUCCUAAGGUCCCUUUUCCGUUCCGGCAUUCCACCCAGGAUAUCACAUUGCAUUUGGUGUUUGUGUCUCCUUGGUCUCCUCUGGUUCUUGAGAGUUUCUCAGUCUCUCCUUGUUUUUCGUGACUGAAGUUUCAAGGAGUACUGGUCAGGUAUUCCAUAGAAUGUCCUACUGUUAGCUUUCAGCAGUAAAAGCCUUUCCACAAACAAAA
Molecule: long non-coding RNA, 1294 nt
Filed under: Homo sapiens (human)
Lineage: Eukaryota; Metazoa; Chordata; Mammalia; Primates; Hominidae
Description: HSALNT0390571
Source: RNAcentral